UGGGGAAUAUUGGACAAUGGGCGCAAGCCUGAUCCAGCAAUGCCGCGUGUGUGAAGAAGGCCUUCGGGUUGUAAAGCACUUUUAUCAGGAGCGAAAUACUACCGAUUAACACUCGGUGGGGCUGACGGUACCUGAGGAAUAAGCACCGGCUAACUUCGUGCCAGCAGCCGCGGUAAUACGAAGGGUGCAAGCGUUAAUCGGAAUUACUGGGCGUAAAGGGUGCGUAGGCGGUUAUUUAAGUCUGUCGUGAAAUCCCCGGGCUCAACCUGGGAAUGGCGGUGGAUACUGGAUAGCUAGAGUGUGUCAGAGGAUGGUGGAAUUCGCGGUGUAGCGGUGAAAUGCGUAGAGAUCGGGAGGAACAUCAGUGGCGAAGGCGGCCAUCUGGGACAACACUGACGCUGAAGCACGAAAGCGUGGGGAGCAAAC
This 426-nucleotide ribosomal RNA is filed under the name uncultured bacterium. RNAcentral's name for it is "bacterial SSU rRNA". It matches the Rfam family "Bacterial small subunit ribosomal RNA", at positions 355 to 773 of the family's 1533-position model. The record is from RNAcentral.